This 500-nucleotide ribosomal RNA is filed under the name uncultured bacterium. RNAcentral describes it as "partial 16S ribosomal RNA". It matches the Rfam family "Bacterial small subunit ribosomal RNA", at positions 30 to 523 of the family's 1533-position model. The record is from RNAcentral.
AUUGAACGCUGGCGGCAUGCUUUACACAUGCAAGUCGAACGGUAACAGGGUGCUUGCACCGCUGACGAGUGGCGAACGGGUGAGUAAUGCGUCGGAACGUGCCGAGUAGUGGGGGAUAACGCAGCGAAAGUUGUGCUAAUACCGCAUACGUACUGAGGUAGAAAGUGGGGGACCUUCGGGCCUCACGCUAUUCGAGCGGCCGACGUCUGAUUAGCUAGUAGGUGGGGUAAAGGCUCACCUAGGCGACGAUCAGUAGCGGGUCUGAGAGGAUGAUCCGCCACCCUGUGACUGAGACACGGCCCAGACUCCUACGGGAGGCAGCGGUGGGGAAUUUUGGACAAUGGGCGAAAGCCUGAUCCAGCCAUGCCGCGUGUCUGAAGAAGGCCUUCGGGUUGUAAAGGACUUUUGUCAGGGAGGAAAUCCCUAGUGCUAAUAACACUGGGGGAUGACAGUACCUGAAGAAUAAGCACCGGCUAACUACGUGCCAGCCGCCGCCGUAA